Long non-coding RNA from Aedes albopictus (Asian tiger mosquito), 1002 nucleotides. RefSeq lists it as uncharacterized. The transcript is spliced from 2 exons. Lineage: Eukaryota; Metazoa; Arthropoda; Insecta; Diptera; Culicidae. The record is from RefSeq and is a predicted model, not a curated record.
AUUUAUGUUAUCGUACAUAUCAUAUGCAUUCAAUACACACUUAAACUCCAAAUUUGAUCUCGGUGAAAGCGAAUAACGAACUCAAUCGGUAAAGGUUAUUUUAACUGAAAUAUCGUUAAAAUUUGACAGUUUAUCGAAAAUAACUUAUCAAAAACGACGAAAUUCGGCAAUUUACGUUCAUUACUGAUUAUCGGCAAACUGUUUUGCCAAAGCAAUCGGCAAACUAAUCAUGUUGCUGAAACUCGGUAAAGCGCAUCUGUCAAAAAUAAAGACGAAGCGCGUUGCCGGCUGCCAUCUUCAAAAAAGCAUUUUUCCCUUUCAUCGCUGAAAUGGUUCUCUUCGUUGUUCUGCAGAAGGAGCGCUGCAGGACGGAGUGCCGGAUUACAGCUUCAAAUGCGCCUGUUUUUUUUGCUGACGGAGAAGUCAACAAACCUACAGCAAAAUGGUCCGUACCAAGCAAUCCGCUCAAAAAACCACCGGAGAAAAGGCUUUCCGUUAGCAGCUGGCAACAAAGGUCGCCCGCAAAAGUGCUCCCUCGACCGACGGAGUGGAGUAGCCGCAUCGUUACCGGCCGGGAACGGUAGCUCUGCGAGAAAUCCGUCGCUACCAAAAGUCCACCGAGAUGCUGAUCCGGAUGUUGCAGAUCCAGCGCUUGUGUGAAAAUGCGCAGGUUUUGGAGAUGGGCCUGCGUUUCCAAAAUGCGUUUAUUAUCUUGCAGCGAAGCGUACUUGGUCGGAUUGUUUGAGGACACCAUCUUUAGGCGAUCCACGCCAAACGCGUCACCAGCUAACUGGCCCUGGUCCGGUGCAUCCGUGACGAGCGUGCUCAAGGAGGAGUAGGAGGAAGUGUGGAAUUAUGUUUUUGUUUUUAACAAUGAGUUAAAGAAACGAUAAAAAGCGAGAAGGUCCUUCUCAGAACCAGAAAUUUCAACAAAAAAAAAACAUUCCGUUGCAUAUUUUUUCGUAAUAUGUUUGCGAGAAUAAAAUUGGUAACCUAAUUAUA